CAUGGACUCUAGCUCGCAAGGCUCCUCUGUCCCUGGGAUUUUCCUGGAAAGGAUACUGGAGUGGGUUGCUGUUUUAUUCUCCAGGGGAUCUUCCCGACGCAGAGAUCAAACUCAAGUCUCCUGCAUUGCAGAUGGAUUAUUUACUACUGUGCCACCUGGAAAGCCCAAGGAAAGUAAUCUAAACAUUGCUUUAAGAAUGGACACUGACUUCUGUAAUAUUAAAGUAGAGAAACUGGAGCUUAUUGAAGAAGUAAAAUGCACACCUGGAUGAGAGAUUGCUGACCUUCCAGUGUACGUAUCCAGUCUCCCCUGAAACAUGAGAGCACCUCCAGUCUGUGACUUUCAUGAUUUCCUCUGGUUCCUGACAAAUAAAUGUCAGUCUGAAUAGAAGCCAACUGGGU
This 401-nucleotide long non-coding RNA is filed under the name Capra hircus (goat). RNAcentral describes it as "lncRNA (ENSCHIG00000002546.1)". The record is from RNAcentral. Lineage: Eukaryota; Metazoa; Chordata; Mammalia; Artiodactyla; Bovidae.